RNAcentral lists this ribosomal RNA (326 nucleotides) under uncultured eukaryote. RNAcentral describes it as "partial 18S ribosomal RNA". It matches the Rfam family "Eukaryotic small subunit ribosomal RNA", at positions 1470 to 1796 of the family's 1831-position model. The record is from RNAcentral.
CCCUUAGAUGUUCUGGGCUGCACGCGCGCUACACUGAUGCACUCAACGAGUUUCUGACCUUGUCCGAGAGGAUUGGGUAAUCUUUUUAAAAUGCAUCGUGAUGGGGAUAGAUUAUUGCAAUUAUUAAUCUUCAACGAGGAAUUCCUAGUAAGCGCGAGUCAUCAGCUCGUGCUGAUUACGUCCCUGCCCUUUGUACACACCGCCCGUCGCUCCUACCGAUUGAGUGCUCAGGUGAAUAAUUCGGACUGCAGCAAUGUUUGGAUCCCGAACGUUGCAGCGGAAAGUUUAGUGAACCUUAUCACUUAGAGGAAGGAGAAGUCGUAACA